RNAcentral lists this ribosomal RNA (254 nucleotides) under uncultured bacterium. RNAcentral's name for it is "partial 16S ribosomal RNA". It matches the Rfam family "Bacterial small subunit ribosomal RNA", at positions 524 to 776 of the family's 1533-position model. The record is from RNAcentral.
UACGUAGGGUCCAAGCGUUAUCCGGAAUCACUGGGCGUAAAGCGUGCGUAGGUGGCGCAUUAAGUGAGAUGUGAAAUCGUGUGGCUCAACCAUAUCGACUGUGUCUCAAACUGAUGUGCUAGAGGACGGCAGAGGCAAGUGGAAUUAGUAGUGUAGCAGUGAAAUGCGUAGAUAUUACUAGGAACACCAAUGGCGAAGGCAGCGUGCUGGGCCACUCCUGACACUAAGUCACGAAAGCGUGGGGAGCGAACAGG